AGAAGAUACAGUAUUUUGAAAAUAGUUUUUGUUAACGGAAUAAAUAUCAGUUGAGUCUAAUAUACUUUUUCCAUCAGGUUUAGAAUGACAUGAAGGUGAUUAAAUGACAGAAUUUCCACUUUUGGGUCAUCCAUCCCUUUAAUCUCAUUGUGAAUGAUGCAUAACAGACGAAAUAUGCAGUAAUAGUUAUAGAGUUAAUGUUUUUAUGAGAGAAAACUUUAAUUCUUUUGUGCAGAUUUAUACAGAUGGAUCUAAGGAUCCAAUUGAGCAAAAAGUGGGCAUAGGAGUGUAUAUUCCAAAUUUUAAGACAGAAAUAAGCUUGAGGCUAAGUAACAAACUGUCUGUGUACUCUACUGAGCUAACUGCAAUUAUAGAUUUUAAUUUGCUCAGAUUCUUCAUCAGCUCUUAAAAGUAUAAAGUCUACAAAAAGUAAUAGAGAAGAUUUGUUAAUGGAAAUUUAUACUUUAUUUUACAGAUUGAAAAUGGAAGGUAUAACUGUAUAUUUU
This is a long non-coding RNA of Carassius carassius (crucian carp), 506 nucleotides long. RefSeq lists it as uncharacterized. The transcript is spliced from 3 exons. Lineage: Eukaryota; Metazoa; Chordata; Actinopteri; Cypriniformes; Cyprinidae. The record is from RefSeq and is a predicted model, not a curated record.